This is a long non-coding RNA of Apis cerana (Asiatic honeybee), 2504 nucleotides long. RefSeq lists it as uncharacterized. NCBI's taxonomy places the organism in Eukaryota, Metazoa, Arthropoda, Insecta, Hymenoptera, Apidae. The record is from RefSeq and is a predicted model, not a curated record.
UGGAUCCUUAUCAUUGACUCCCGGAGACAUUGAUUCGUGGCGCGCGAGUCUCUCCGUCGAGAUGAGAUUAUAUUUCGUCAAACGGGAAAUGUCACAAUCUUUGCUCUAACUUGUGCUUACGCGCUCCGCGAUUAAAUUUAACGGAGUUUAUAAACUCCUUCGUUAUCUUGCCAAUUUCGAGUAACAAGACGAGAUGUACGAUCGAGAAGAUCUUGGAACAUGUUGACGGAAUAUGUAUAUCUUAAAAUAUUUUCUCAGAACAUUUGAGAGACACAGCAAGGAAAAUACUCAAAAAAAUGUAAAUAAUCGUUAUCGAUAUACUUUAUUUGCAUUAAUAUUUCUAACGCUAGUCUAACGACAUAACACGAGCGAACAGAACGAAUUUAACAAAUCGAGAGACCUUAUCGCACAAUGAUAAGAUACACGCAACAGAAAUAAAUGUUGAAAAAUUUCCGUUUCGACUUGAUGAUGGAUAAAAAACGAAAGCGAUGGGCGCACAGUUGGACGGUGAAUCGAUCGCGAACAAGGUUGGAGCACGAUCAGUGAGUGGGUCGAUUUCGUCUAACUAACGUUCCCAAAGCUCCUCGGGACAUCCGUUCUUAUCGUCGAUACCGUAACUAAAGCGGCAGAACGGGGCGCCAUAUUGGGAGACCGAGAGAACGCCUUCUACCCCUUUCCUCUGAUAGCAGAACAAAGGAAAUACGCAUACAUGAUAUAUCGAUCGUAUAUUUUCACGUCAAAAUUUAAAAUUUUCAAAAAACGGAAUCGAUGGCUCGUUCCAAUGGCUCGAUGUCUGAAUCUAUUUAACACGAAGAAAAUAUUUAUUGACAAAUACCCAUCGAAGAUGAUAAAUGGCGCAAAAAGUGAUCGAGGCAUUCGUUAAGCUAAAUAACGAAAUAACGGUGAGCGAGUCGACGAACAAAGAAGAAGGCGAGCAAGAUGUGAAAUUGGGAACCACUGUCGAAGAUAACCAAUGGUCCAGAGUGGCGCACACGCGUGCUCGUACACGCACGUAUACAUCCUUGCACGUGUACACGCAGACAGAUGGCGCUUGUAUGAGAUCUGUGUAGUUCCAAGAAACGUACAGUCGUCGGAAAAAGUGACGGGUUCUUCAAUGUCGGACUGGGAGCCGCGGGGGUGGAGGGCGAGGAAGAGAAGUUGAUGGAAAUGUACGCAUUACCAGUCGAGCAUAUUCAUGAAAGUUUCUUGACAUCGACGCCGUUGCAGGCGAAUGACCAAACAGAACCCAGGAGGUCCUCGAUUGUGCAAAGAAAAAUGUACGUAUUGUCCGUCUGAUCGAGUAUCGCAUUUUGAACUAACCUGAGUUGUGAGCUGGAUACGUUUUGAUUAGAAAUGGCAAUGUAUAUAUUGAUGCUUCGAAAAUGAAAUGCAGCGAUAUGAGAAUUCCUCGAGCGCUUAUAUUUUAUACAAGUUAAAAUAUAUAAUAAACGAAAUGAAAUGUUUCGAAAAUAUCGUUGAUAUAUCGGUAGAAAACAUCGAUAUUUCUAUUACUGAUUAUUUCGAAGCAUGAUAUUUUUUUAUAUAAAGGAAUAAAUACAUAUAUAUGAUAAAUAAUUUUUAAGCGACAGUUUUAUUGGAAUCAAAUAUUGCGUGACUUUUAAUUUUUAGAAUGAAUUUUUUUUUCUAAUUUUUUUAAACCAGAUAAUACGAUUUCUUUGAAAUAUUUUAUUAUUUUAUAAUUAAAUUUUUUUUCAAUUUUUUUUUUAUAAUAGUAAUAGAUACUAUAUUAUGAGAAUCAAUUACACAAAACUAUCUACGUUUGUCGUAGAUAGUGUUAUAUAUGAUUCAAAUAUAUUUAUUACUUUGCAAUAUCGUUACAGAUCCUAAUUAAAAAAAGGAAACGAUGAUAAAAAAAAAAGAAAAUAUUAAACAAAUUCUCGAAAUUCGUAUAUAACGAUUUUAAAAAAUAUGGUAUAAUGGAAAAUAGAAAAAAGAUUGAAAAAAUGAAAGAUCGCGUUAUACGCAAUCUUGGGCCUUAAUGGAUAAGACGUCUCCGUGUUAUCUAGGUUGUAACCCCUUAUCUACUGCACACGGUUCGCUCUACGGGGCGAUCGACUCUCGAAACACGGACAAACCGUGGUCGAUGCCGCGACUCGACUGUUCGAAUGGUUCUCCCUCUUUUUACUUUAUUUCCGUAUCCGUUAGCAUGAAAGAAGGAUAUUCAUGAAUGUUUUUUUACCCAGGCCAGUCCGACAUGAACGUAAAGGGAUGGUGAGCGAAGAAACAACGGACCGUUUGUGCAUUUUCUGGUGACGUUCACCAACCAACCGGUCGACGCGUCUCGAAGGGCGUCACGUCACCUUUUAUUCCCGUAUAUUUACCCUUUGAUAAAGUUUAAAUCUUUAGAGUUUGAUCGUAGAAAUAAAAAAAAAGGGAAAGGAAAAGAAAAAACAUACGAAAAAUAAGCAAUAAAAAUGUUAUAGAAAAAUGCGCAUUCGUUAGUUCGAAUUAAAUAUAACGAAUUAAAAAUUCUUUGACGUAAA